UUGAAAUGCAAUCGGAUUGAAUUCAAUCCUAAGUUGUAACAUCAGCACUGAAUGAAAAGAUGAAAAGAGAGUCAUUAUCAUUACUCUGCCGUUGGAGUCUUUCAAGGCCAAAGUUUCUCUAAGAAUCGAAUGUGUUGUCUAUUCUUUUAGUAGGAGGCUGGAGAGAAAUUUAUUCGUUUCUCGAGUUAUUCACGACCGAGCAUUUUUCUAUCCACGGCAAAUUUCAAAAAUCGCGGGCGAUGAUCUUCGCUGCAAACGUUAACAAAUCUGCGCAUCAAAAAUGAAUAUCCAGUUGAGGUUGCCAAUAAGUCGCCAUUGCCGCGCCAGCAGAUUGGAUGAUCCAAUUGAAAUUUUCCACCUUUAAUGUGGAGACUGACUACGGUUAAAUCUUUAUAUUAUCGAUAGAAACACGGAUUUAUUAUACGGAGCGACCGGCAACACAAUUACUGCAGUAGUCUCACCAUAGCAUCCAACAUCAUGUUUAUAAAGUAUGGAUACCCAGUACUAAACCCAAACCCACAAUCUAUAAUUGGCAGGCAACUUACACUGCUGUUUCGAUCAAUAAGGGUGAUGCAACCACAACGACAUCUACGGUGCCAACGACUAUAAAAUAAAUGGCUUUGCUUCUCGUUUGAUCGACUUCAAACUACAGUCCUGAUUAAAUGAACCAUUGAACAGAUGAGAAACGUCCUGCAGCAGUCACAAUGCCAUCAGUGGACCACCAUGACGCUCCCUGUGCUCUUUAACACUCAGCGUUAACUGCUUUAUUAUUAAUUGGCCCAAAAAUAAUUACCUAACUGUCUGCACUAUAACUACAAGUAAUAAACUCUUGUAUUUAACCA
This is a long non-coding RNA of Daphnia pulicaria, 842 nucleotides long. RefSeq lists it as uncharacterized. The transcript is spliced from 3 exons. The record is from RefSeq and is a predicted model, not a curated record. Lineage: Eukaryota; Metazoa; Arthropoda; Branchiopoda; Diplostraca; Daphniidae.